RNAcentral lists this long non-coding RNA (208 nucleotides) under Elaeis guineensis (African oil palm). Its description in RNAcentral is "long non-coding RNA (EGUI_LNC058480)". The record is from RNAcentral. Lineage: Eukaryota; Viridiplantae; Streptophyta; Magnoliopsida; Arecales; Arecaceae.
AAUACAGUGAUGCAUCAUCUUUAAUUUUACUUGGAGCGGUCAAUCCCAUCUUAACUUGCACUCAGACAUUACAAGUACUUGACUGUACCCAAAAAUCUUUCAUCAUCGAAUUAAAAAUUUGGAUAGUCCGACAUCACAGUACAGUGAGUUAUUUGCAAGUCACCGAGGCAGCCUCAAGUCAGAGGGACACUUAUACCCAUAUCCCAUC